RNAcentral lists this ribosomal RNA (490 nucleotides) under uncultured bacterium. Its description in RNAcentral is "partial 16S ribosomal RNA". It matches the Rfam family "Bacterial small subunit ribosomal RNA", at positions 30 to 507 of the family's 1533-position model. The record is from RNAcentral.
AUUGAACGCUGGCGGCAGGCCUAACACAUGCAAGUCGAACGGUAACAGGAAACAGCUUGCUGUUUCGCUGACGAGUGGCGGACGGGUGAGUAAUGUCUGGGAAACUGCCUGAUGGAGGGGGAUAACUACUGGAAACGGUAGCUAAUACCGCAUAACGUCGCAAGACCAAAGAGGGGGACCUUCGGGCCUCUUGCCAUCGGAUGUGCCCAGAUGGGAUUAGCUAGUAGGUGGGGUAACGGCUCACCUAGGCGACGAUCCCUAGCUGGUCUGAGAGGAUGACCGGCCACACUGGAACUGGGACACGGUCCAGACUCCUACGGGGGGCAGCAGUGGGGAAUAUUGCACAAUGGGCGCAAGCCUGAUGCAGCCAUGCCGCGUGUAUGAAGAAGGCCUUCGGGUUGUAAAGUACUUUCAGCGGGGAUGAAGGGAGUAAAGUUAAUACCUUGGCUCAUUGACGUUACCCGCAGAAGAAGCACCGGCUAACUCCGUG